This 119-nucleotide ribosomal RNA is filed under the name Triticum aestivum (bread wheat). The record is from RNAcentral. Lineage: Eukaryota; Viridiplantae; Streptophyta; Magnoliopsida; Poales; Poaceae.
GGAUGCGAUCAUACCAGCACUAAAGCACCGGGUCCCAUAAGAACUCCGAAGUUAAGCGUGCUUGGGCGAGAGUAGUACUAGGAUGGGUGACCUCCUGGGAAGUCCUCGUGUUGCAUUCC